Molecule: long non-coding RNA, 1201 nt
Organism: Gallus gallus (chicken)
Lineage: Eukaryota; Metazoa; Chordata; Aves; Galliformes; Phasianidae
Source: Ensembl
UCUCUACCUGGAGUUCUCUCCUUUGGAGUGUUUUGCAGGCCCUGAUCCUUGGGAUGGUACAGCAAGAAGCUCUUGCAUCACUUCUGAGCAUCAUCUCCUCAAGGAAAGGGCUGGGAGAUCAGGGAAGGGCGCUGUAAGCUCAACCGAGGGCUGAGGGUUAUGAGUGAGCUUCCUAGCUCGUGGAGGUCUUUGUGGUUGGGUGCAUGGCAGGGCCAUGUAUCAACAUCUAUUGACUUUUGUAGGCAGUUUCCAUUGGUCAGGGCCAAGUCUGGGACCUGAAAUGAACAAGGAAGGUUGGUGUAACUUCAGGAACACUCAAGAGACCUUGCUCAGAUGAUGAUAACUUGUUGUCUUAGACUAGUUGCAGUCUCCUGUUGACCUGCAGCAUACCAAGAAGGAGCAGGAUUUCUGCAAAUAGCAGUUGGUUGCCUCGUGACAUCUCUUGCACUAAGAGCAGAGGGAUUUGUACAGCAGUCUUCCAAAUGGGGUGGCCACAUCCCUUGCUGUGCUAAGGAAAAUGUCCCAAGAGCCUGCAGAGAAGUUCUGAUAAGACAAAUAAAACCCACCAGUUUAGCUAAAAACUACAGCUGAAAAAACAUCAUUUUGAUUAGAUGGCUGGAGAUGGGGGCUGGAGAAACAGUUUCCAGCCACAGGUGUAUAGAAGCAUUUACAGAGAGGAGCUCUGUGCACCUGCUGCUCUACCUAUUGGUGGUUCGGAGGGCUAUGGAGGGGAGGAUUUGGGCCCUUGAGAGCACUUUGUCAGCUCAGCUGGCUCCCUCCAGUCAAUUAAAAAGCACUAUGGGUUGGCUUGGAGGACAAGCCAGCAACUGAACCAAGAGCAAAUUAAUGCAAGGAGGAAGGGGAGUUCUCUGCCACUCGGCAGCCUGUGCAGCCCUGACAUGAAGCAAACUCAGAGGGAAGUGGAGCUGAGACCUGUUCUGCUUUUCUCUAAUUAAAUUAUAUUACAUAAGAUGGGGACUGGGAGAGUCUGCUACGAGCUGGCCAGUUUAGCAGGAUGCCACAGGCAGGUCAGACUGCAGCCUUCCUCAGCAAUUUGGUGUCUGGACUCACAGGAAGGAAGACUUUUUUUUUGAGUGACAUGGGGGCACUGAAUCAGAGGUAGAACCAUGGGAACCUGCAUUAGCAAGUUUCAGCUCUCAGCUUCUUUUAUUGUCAGUGGAAUGAAAGAUGUAACAUUCUC